RNAcentral lists this ribosomal RNA (492 nucleotides) under uncultured bacterium. Its description in RNAcentral is "partial 16S ribosomal RNA". It matches the Rfam family "Bacterial small subunit ribosomal RNA", at positions 29 to 507 of the family's 1533-position model. The record is from RNAcentral.
AGUGAACGCUGGCGGUAGGCCUAACACAUGCAAGUCGAACGGCAGCACAGUAAGAGCUUGCUCUUACGGGUGGCGAGUGGCGGACGGGUGAGGAAUACAUCGGAAUCUACUUUUUCGUGGGGGAUAACGUAGGGAAACUUACGCUAAUACCGCAUACGACCUACGGGUGAAAGCAGGGGGUCUUCGGACCUUGCGCGAUUGAAUGAGCCGAUGUCGGAUUAGCUAGUUGGCGGGGUAAAGGCCCACCAAGGCGACGAUCCGUAGCUGGUCUGAGAGGAUGAUCAGCCACACUGGAACUGAGACACGGUCCAGACUCCUACGGGAGGCAGCAGUGGGGAAUAUUGGACAAUGGGCGCAAGCCUGAUCCAGCCAUACCGCGUGGGUGAAGAAGGCCCUCGGGUUGUAAAGCCCUUUUGUUGGGAAAGAAAAGCAGCAGGUUAAUACCCCGCUGUUCUGACGGUACCCAAAGAAUAAGCACCGGCUAACUUCGUG